This 2498-nucleotide ribosomal RNA is filed under the name human oral metagenome. RNAcentral's name for it is "bacterial LSU rRNA". It matches the Rfam family "Bacterial large subunit ribosomal RNA", at positions 115 to 2614 of the family's 2925-position model. The record is from RNAcentral.
AGUGUAGAUAGAUUUGUCAAUUUAUUGACUUGUCGAUUGUGCACUCAAAUGUGUGAGGCACUGAUCAUUAACAAUUUGAGAGUAAAAGAAUCUUAGUAGGAUGAGGAAGAGAAAGUAAAUAACGAUUGCGAAAGUAGUGGCGAGCGAAAUCGCAACAGCCCAAACCUUUUAAGUUUUUGCCUAUUAAUUUAGGCAAAUAAGUUGAUAGACGAAUACUUAUAAGGGGUUGUGAUAUUACAUAUGACCAAGUCAGAGAAUUUGAUUCAUUCAAAUGAUCUGAUUUGCGAUAACUGGCUAUCAACAGUUAGUAAGGUAAGAAAUCGGCGUGGUUAGUAGAAUAGUUUGAAUGACUAGCCAAAGAACGUGAAAGCCGUGUAUAUGAAAACGACGCUGACCUUAUGUAUGUUUUAUCGAGUAGGACGGGGCACGAGAAACCCUGUUUGAAUCUGGCUGGACCACCAGCCAAGGCUAAAUAUAAUAUACGAUCGAUAGUGAACUAGUACAGUGAUGGAAAGGUGAAAAGAACCCCGGGAGGGGAGUGAAAUAGAUCCUGAAAUUUAGUGCCUACAAGGAGUCGGAGCCGGCUUGUCCGGUGACGGCGUGCUUUUUGUAGAACGAUCCAGCGAGUUAAUUUUUACAGCGAGGUUAAGUCAAUUGACGGAGCCACAGUGAAAGCGAGCCUGAAUAGGGCGAAUAAGUUGUAAGGAUUAGACCCGAAACCGGGUGACCUAACCAUGAGCAGGUUGAAGCCACUGUAACAGGUGGUGGAGGACCGAACCAGGAUACGCAGCAAAGUGUUUGGAUGACUUGUGGUUAGCGGUGAAAUGCCAAUCGAACUCGGAGAUAGCUGGUUCUCCUCGAAAUAGCUUUAGGGCUAGCGUCGUGUUAGUAGCACAUGGGGGUAGAGCUCUGUAAAGGACUGGGGCGGGCAACUGUACCCACCCUUAACAAACUACGAAUACCAUGUGUGUAAUCACGGCAGUUAGAACAUCGGUGCUAAGAUCGGUGCUCAAAAGGGAAACAGCCCAGACCAUCAUCUAAGGUCCCUAAAUUAACGUUCAGUGGGAAACAAGGUGAGAUUUCUUAAACAGCUAGGAUGUUGGCUUAGAAGCAGCCAUUCAUUUAAAGAGUGCGUAACAGCUCACUAGUCAAGAGAUCUUGCGUGGAAAAUGUAACGGGGCUAAAACGUUAUACCGAAGAUAUGGAUGCGAUGGACAUCAGGUUAAUAUUCCUGAACCGGUUAAGUUUUGUACACUGUUCACGGGGAAGUAAUCGAAGCGGAUUCAUGGUUUAUCCGUCCAACCGAGCGGGAACGCAAAGGGAGUGAAAGUGAUUCUUCGGAGUCGCGAUUUUGGUGAAAGCCCUGGCUAGAAAAGCAGGUGUACGCGUGGACUUAGCCGCCCGUACCGCAAACCAACACAGGUGCUCGAGUCGAGUAGACUCAGGCUUACGAGCGAACCUUCGCUAAGGAACUCGGCAAUACAGCGACCGUAACUUCGGGAUAAGGUCUGCCCCCACUUCGGUGGAUAUCAGCCGCGUUCACUCAGUGAAUAUUAGGUUAAAGAGUACAUUUUUAAUCACAAAACGAAUUUUCUGAGAUAGAGCAAACGAAUUGUUCUUUUGAACGCGAACCUCUGACGUCUAACGAUGUGGGGGCCGCAGCAAAAGAGCCCACGGAACUGUUUAUCAAAAACACAGGUCUCUGCUAACACGAAAGUGGAUGUAUAGGGGCUGACUCCUGCCCAAUGCUGGAAGGUUAAGGGGAGCGCUUCACGGUGCGAACUGAAGCCCUAGUCAAUGGCGGCGGUAACUAUAACCGUCCUAAGGUAGCGAAAUUCCUUGUCAGGUAAGUUCUGACCCGCACGAAUGGAGUAAUCAUGUGGGCACUGUCUCAGCGAAGGACUCGGUGAAAGUGCAUUGGCGGUAAAGAUGCCGUCUGUCCGUACCAGGACGAAAAGACCCCAUGGAGCUUUACUACAGCUUUACAUUGAAUAUGGUUUCAACAUGUGUAGCAUAGGUGGGAGACUUUGAAGCAGAUACGCCAGUAUUUGUGGAGUCACCAAGUGAAAUACCACCCUUGUUGUGAUUGUGUUCUCACGCUGACCGUUAUCCGGUUAGCGGACCGUGUAUGGUGGGUAGUUUAACUGGGGCGGUUGCCUCCUAAAGAGUAGCGGAGGCGUUCAAAGGUUGGCUAACUUCGGAUGGAAAUCGAAGUGAUAGUGUAUGCGCAUAAGCCAGCUUGACUGUGAGGAGUACAUUCCAAUCAGAGACGAAAGUCGGAGCAAGUGAUCCGCUGUACGUACAUUUGUACAUGAAUGUGGGAUCGACAGCGCAAACGGAUAAAAGUUACCCUGGGGAUAACAGGCUUAUAGCGCCCAAUAGUUCACAUAGACGGCGCUGUUUGGCACCUCGAUGUCGGCUCAUCACAUCCUGGAGGGGGAGCACCUUCCAAGGGUUCGGCUGUUCGCCGAUUAAAGUGGUACGCGAGCUGGGUUCAG